GUGCCUCAUUGCAUGUGCACAGGACCUUGUCUGUAGAAGUUUCCUCACUGCAGAGUGCUUGGUGACACAGAAAUGUACGAGUGUAUUAGGGAGAGGAGGGAGGCAAGCUGGAAAAUGGGCUGCAGUGUUUUGACCUGGAUACAAUAAGCACCCAUACAUGAGAUGAAACAGCAGUCCUGAGAAAGUACUUUGGUCUGAUGUCAAGUUUGGGUGGAUUUAAACCCCCUGCAUCCAAGUAAGUCACAUACCAAAAGACUGUCCCUGAUUUAUACAGGGAAGGCUAGUUAAGCCUCUUUAUAUUUAAAAUAAUAAACCAAUGCCAUAUUUACUGCCACUUCAUGGCAGUAAAUAACUACUUUUACAAGUAGUUCAAUUCUUAUCUGUGUUUCUGCAGACAUAAUUUUCUGCUUCUAUGGUAUUUCUUUGUCUGGAGCGGGAGGAUGGUCCAGCUUUCUCUCCUGUGCAACACCUCAUAUGACUAGCCUGAAUACUGAUUUGAAUGUACAGAAUUGAAAUAUUCUGGUCCAAAUCCAUUCCCUAGCAGUCAAUUGGGAUAGGAGAGAUAGGGUAAAUAUCUGCUUACCGGACGGCAGAUUUUUUUUCUUACUAUUUGCAUUAAAAAUAUUAUCUCAGUUAGGGAUACUUCUGCCUACCAAUUGUAUGGCCAUUCACAGCUCAAGGGCAGCUCUGCUAUUAGCCACAACAUAACAGAGCUUUCUAUACAUCAAAUGAAUUUUCAGCUCGAAACAGUAAUCAAAUCAAAAUAGCACUGACAGAACAAACCAAUGACUCCAUGCUAAGACACUAUUAAACCAUAGUGACUAAUAGCAGAAACUAUCUUGUCUCCUUUCUGACUCACUGAUAUCUUGUUUUCAGGUUACCUAUUUGCCAAGUCCAUAUAAUUCCAGAAGGAUAGCCAUUCCCCUACCAUAUACCCAAGGAUGAUGGUAUCAAUAUCCACAGCAUGUGAUUCAAACCCUCAAUGACUGCAAUGCACAAUGCAAGGAGAGAUUCGGAGGCUGGAAUAGGGGCUGCUGCUUCCACAGGAGAACAGCUCUUGAGGCUUCAAAGUGAGAAAUCUGAGGUAACGAUCAGAAGCCAAGCAUCUUUCUUGACUGGGAACAGGUUGGAACCUAUAAAUUAUUAA
Molecule: long non-coding RNA, 1147 nt
Filed under: Cyanistes caeruleus (blue tit)
Lineage: Eukaryota; Metazoa; Chordata; Aves; Passeriformes; Paridae
Description: lncRNA (ENSCCEG00000016180.1)
Source: RNAcentral